Molecule: ribosomal RNA, 485 nt
Filed under: uncultured bacterium
Lineage: Bacteria
Description: partial 16S ribosomal RNA
Rfam family: Bacterial small subunit ribosomal RNA
Source: RNAcentral
GAUGAACGCUGGCGGCGUGCUUAACACAUGCAAGUCGAACGGGAUCCAAGGGGUGCUUGCACUUUUUGGUGAGAGGGGCGAACGGGUGAGUAACACGUGAGUAACCUGUCCUUUUCUUUGGGAUAAGCAUUCGUAAGGGUGUUUAAGACCUUAUGUUCUGUCUGCCUCGCAUGGGGUGGGUGGGAAAGGCUUUGGCCGGAUUUGGGUGGGCUCGCGGUCUAUCAGCUUGUUGGUGGGGUGAUGGCUUACCUAGGCUUUGCCGGGUAGCGGGCCGGAGCGGGUGGUCGGACACAUUGGGACUGAGAUGCGGUCCGGACUCCUGCGGGAGGCAGCGGUGGGGGAUAGUGGACAAUGGGCGAAAGCCUGAUGCAGCGACGCCGCGUGGCGGAUGAAGGCGUUCGUGUUGUAAACUUCUUUUGCUCUGAUCAAGGCAUGCCAGUGGGUGUGUGGAGUUAAGGGGUUGAUAAGCGCCGGCUAACUACGUG